Long non-coding RNA from Myotis daubentonii (Daubenton's bat), 667 nucleotides. RefSeq lists it as uncharacterized. The record is from RefSeq and is a predicted model, not a curated record. NCBI's taxonomy places the organism in Eukaryota, Metazoa, Chordata, Mammalia, Chiroptera, Vespertilionidae.
CCAGUGUUGCGUGGCACCCCUUGUCGCCUCUGCUUUGUCACACCUGGUAGGACUUUCAUGCCAACUCACCUGCAAUCACACAGUUCUCAGAAGCUUGCUCCUUGGCUGGCUGUUCCUGUUCUUCACUUGCCUGGUAUAGGCCCAAGUCACACCAGUUCCUGCCCUGAAGGAUUUACAAAGAAGUACAUUCUGAUGCAAGUCCAGGGAGAGGUUCUGAAGGAUAAUUGCAUCAAUUGUCUGUCUCACCAAGUUUGAGAAGAAGAGAAGCUGAAUGAAGACCAGCUUGAAUUUUAUGAAAAACAUAUCCCUAGUAGCUGAAUGAAGUGAUUUGUUCGCCAGGCUCAGGCCCCACCCAACUGCAGCUUCAAUCUGUGACAGUUUCCCUGGGAAAACAGGAUCUUAAUUACCUGCCUGGUAUCAAAGGAGGAAUUCCAUGGAUGUUUUUUCCACUGUAACAGCAGUUGGCUCCUCUGGAUUCACAGGUUCUGCCUCCAGGGGAUUCAACCAACCUUGGAUAGAAAGUCAGUUGAAUCUGCAUAUUUGGAGGCUGUGGAUCGGAGGGCCAACUGAGGAACUUGAACAUUCUCUGAUUUUGGUAUCGAUGGGGGAUCCUGGGACCAAUGCCCCUUGGAUACUAAGGGAUGACAGUAAUUAUCUUCAAAUAAAU